GGGACUUCCUAUUUAAUGGUCCUAAUAGUAAAGACAUUACCUUUUAAUGAACACAACCAGUCACGAUGUUUUCAUCUAUCAAACAAAUCACUUCAAAAACCUAGACUACCUAAAACGUAGGCUACCUGGGCACGUUGGCCCACUCCAAAAUAAUUCCAGUACCCAAACAAUGCACUGUGCACCUGCCAUUUGAUGGAGGGAAAGAGACGUUACAAAAUCACAAAAAGUGUAAUGACAUUCGCGAUUGUCAUUAGGCCUACAAUAUUGUAGCCUGAAUUAAUUGAUGCGUCUUGCUGACAAAUGAAAAAUAUAUCAUAAUCGGGACACGUGAAAAGGGGCUGAAAUUGUCACGUUUCUCUAAAGCUGAACCCAGAAGCAGACCAGGACAAGGUGAGUAAAAUGAAGGUGAGUAUUUAUUCACAGACUCGAGGCAGCGGAGGUGAGUUGAUGAGAGUGAAUAGGCAGAUCCAAUGAUGUCACUGAAACCACCGACGACCAGGCAAGGGGGGCGAAUGUUCCGGGAGGAUGACUGUAGACAGCGUAAACAGGGUUGAGUAACCGGCAAGAAGUACAUAACAACAAAACUAACUCUGGUAACAUGAGCUGAUACGCUGACACAACCUAAUGUUCAUUGCUAACGAUCCGGCAGGGAAUGGAUGUCAGGUCAGGGUUUAUGAAGAGAAGAGGUGAUGAUCAGGACCAGGUGUGCAGAUGGCUGAUGAGAUGCAGGGCAUGGAUGAAGAGUCCACCAAGGCAGCUGUUGAGGACACUACUGUGGGGAUCUACAUUAUCAAAGACCAUUUCGCGAGUGAGGAUCCAGGGGACACUGGGAUUGUCCUUGAAGGCGUCAAGGUGCUGCAGGAUCUGGGCAACGUAGCAUUUGCUGUUGCAAUGCUGUUCGGCCUCAUGUAUGCCAUGAACCUCAGUUACCCUAACUGAGCCCCGCUACACUUUUGAUGUCUUUCAGAAGGUUUUUAUGGAACUGAAUGGGGACAAACUUUCUAACAAAGCUGUUGCAUUUAAAAACAGGCUGUUUCAGUGAGCUGUUUUGUUGUAUGUUGUGUUUCACACUGUAUGUUUGACUUAUGUUUAACUUGUUAGAUUGUUCACAAAAACUCAAAACAGAAUGAGCAUGUCCAAAGAUGGAGCUAUCGUGAUUUCCUUAAUUUUCUUUGCUGCUUAUGGAAAAAGUUCAGUUUCACUUUGUAGUGACUUUUAGUCAAUAUAAUUAACAUGCACAAAUAUGUCCACAUACCUACCUCAUUCUUUGUCUGUUACUCCUUAUGAAAAAUAACUACCUCAUUUUGUAACAAAAUGCAUUAGAGGGCCCAAUCAUUGUUAGGACAACUCUUCUUUUUUUAUAUAUACAGAUACUGUAUAAAGGCUACAGCCCCUUGAUUUAGACCUGUGCAAUUCAUUGAACACUGAAUGUCAGUGAAUGGACAUUUGUCAUUCCAAAGAGCUGAACCGUUACAAAAAAUACAAUAUCAUUUUUGAAACGCAUGCCUUUGCCUUCUUUGUCACUGAUGCAAAUGGUCUCUUGCUCCUUGGUUACACAUCCUUAGAAAACGUUUUAUUUCCCUAUUAAUUUGUUUAAAUACAAACACUAAGGCAGAAAAUGACAGCAUUUCAUCUUGUGCUUACAUUAAUAAUUAUGUAGAACCUUAAAUUAUGGACAAAGUUAUUCAUAAUUAUGAGUAACAUCGGAACAUGAUCAAAUACAUUUCAAGCUACACAUUUAAUUCAAAUAAAAUUUAC
Molecule: long non-coding RNA, 1758 nt
Filed under: Salmo salar (Atlantic salmon)
Lineage: Eukaryota; Metazoa; Chordata; Actinopteri; Salmoniformes; Salmonidae
Description: lncRNA (ENSSSAG00000116604.1)
Source: RNAcentral